This is a microRNA precursor of Gossypium arboreum, 144 nucleotides long. It matches the Rfam family "MIR7502 microRNA precursor family". The record is from Rfam. Lineage: Eukaryota; Viridiplantae; Streptophyta; Magnoliopsida; Malvales; Malvaceae.
UGUUAAAAUUUUUAUCUAUUUGUACUAUUAAAAACUUGUGUAGUUGAUAGAACAACCAAAAAGUGUCAUGUGGCAUGCUACUUAUACCUCAUGCUGACAUACAAUAACCAAUUUUUAACCCUAAAAUUGGAUGUGAUUUUAACA